GACGAACGCUGGCGGCGUGCCUAAUACAUGCAAGUAGAACGCUGAAACUUGGUGCUUGCACCGAGCGGAUGAGUUGCGAACGGGUGAGUAACGCGUAGGUAACCUGCCUGGUAGCGGGGGAUAACUAUUGGAAACGAUAGCUAAUACCGCAUAAGAGUAGAUGUUGCAUGACAUUUGCUUAAAAGGUGCAAUUGCACCACUACCAGAUGGACCUGCGUUGUAUUAGCUAGUUGGUGGGGUAACGGCUCACCAAGGCGACGAUACAUAGCCGACCUGAGAGGGUGAUCGGCCACACUGGGACUGAGACACGGCCCAGACUCCUACGGGAGGCAGCAGUAGGGAAUCUUCGGCAAUGGACGGAAGUCUGACCGAGCAACGCCGCGUGAGUGAAGAAGGUUUUCGGAUCGUAAAGCUCGGUUGUAAGAGAAGAACGAGUGUGAGAGUGGAAAGUUCACACUGUGACGGUAUCUUACCAGAAAGAGACGGCUAACUACGUG
Molecule: ribosomal RNA, 497 nt
Filed under: uncultured bacterium
Lineage: Bacteria
Description: partial 16S ribosomal RNA
Rfam family: Bacterial small subunit ribosomal RNA
Source: RNAcentral